CUGUUUACACGUUUUGUAAAGGUGUUAAAACCCCCUAAUCUAACAAUGCCUGUGGCUCUUCACACCGCAGGGCAUUCACCUUACUUGUGCCACUGAGAGGCGUGGACGGCGGGGUAAAACAAACCCCCCGCACCAGCGCCAGGGCACCCCGCCCGGGAAGACACUCACAGGCGCUGCGCAGCCUUACAGGAGCAACCGUUGUUCGCUAGUACCGCGACGACCCUGGAUCCUUGCGCCCUGAGUCCCAGGCUGAAUCGAGUCCCGGCCGCAGGAGGCGGGGCUAAGGCGGCAGGACUCAGGCGCCUGCGCCCGGCCAUGGAGGGGGAGCUCGGAGCUUGGAGUGAAAAUGUAUUGGAUUAUUUUCUGAACACUAACCAGAUUAAAACCAGAGAUGGAGCAGAAAUUAUCUGGUAUCAUGCAGCAAACAAUAAAUUACAAAUGAAAGAGGCAAUACAGAGUGCUGCUCAUAUGAUAGAAGCAGAUGUUCUUCUCUGUGGUGAGGAAGAAGGAAAUGGUGAACCAAUCAUGGCUCAUCCUCCUGAAACUAACAGUGACAACACAUUGCAGGCAUGGCUAAAUGAGAUUGUGAACACUAAAAAAGGCAUCAAACUGGAUUUUAAGAGUCUAGCAGCGGUGAAGCCCUCUAUGAUGCUUCUUGAAGGCAUAAAGUUGCAUCUGAGGCGACUUGUCUGGAUUAAUGCAGACAUUCUCCCUGGACCUAAUGGAACUAACGCUGUCGUGGAUGCAAAAAGAUUUCUAGACACUGUAACUUCAUUUUGCCCGGAUGUGACCUUAUCGUUGGGCUGGACAACUGGGUGGCAGCCUCAACAAUGCAAUAAAGGAUACAGUUGGGCAAUGGUGAAAGAGAUGGCUCAAAUUUGUGACGCACUUACUCAGCCUGUAACGUUUCCUGUUAGAGCAGCUUUGGUACGACAGUCAAAAUCUGAGUUGCUUUGGUUAUUACAGAAGUCAAACAGGUACAGUCUGACUGUUUGGACAGGAAGGCAUGACAAGUACUCCAUAGAAGACCUGCUGUACCUCAGAGAGAACUUUGAUAAAACACCCAACAGAUGAUGAUCUGGCUGCAACAGUAGUUCUUCCAGCAGCAGAAGAAGGAAGAUGAGAAAGACGCUGAGCUACUACAAGAGCCGUUCCUGGAGCAGCUUCACAUGGCACAUCGCCAUUUCUGUGUUCAGGAAACCAGUGUUGAUUGGUGGAAAAGGAUUGUUCUGCAGACAUGGAUGACCAGCAGUGGUAAGGGAAUUUAAGGAGGGCAAAGGUGACCUUUUUUGAGAUCUGUGUUCAGUUCAUCCUGAGCAUGCAGUGCCGAUACUCAUCAAGAAUCAGGUCGCCGCUGCCAUCUGGUAGUUGCCCACCCUUUAUUGUUACUGGUCCAUAGCCAACCAAUUUGGAGUAGGGAGACUGACUGCUGGAGCCACUGUCAUGUUUCAUUUUUUGAACUUUCAGCAGCAGAUGGAGCCAGCAAGGGAGCAAGUGGGUGGAGAGAAAGAUCCUAUCUUUUACUGAAUUUUAACCCUCCAUCCAAACUCAGGAAGCAACUAUGGGCUCUGACUGCUUCAAUUAGCAGGUUGGAGUACAAACAACAUGGAUGUAUCUGCUUUGCUUGCUUCUACCCUACCCCUUCAUGAUUCCAGUCACCAGGAGCAUAUCCACCUUUGCAAUCCUGACUCUAGGAAAAUCGCUUAAUUGGAGCUGGAAACUUUUUAUAUCCAUGUAUUGACAUGGUUCAACAGAGGAGUGUGAUUUUUGUUUUCUGUUUGAGGCACUCUCCCUACUAGUCAUUUUUCCAAUCUUCUCCCCACCGUCCUUUUUAAUCUCCCUCCCUUGCUCCCUUUUGUUUCAUCCCUAUCUAAUUUCCUAGAUUUGAGGGUUAUAGUAAAUCUGGAAAUAUUCAAUUCAUUUGCCCUAAAGGUACACUUAUAGACUCAUAGACAUUAAGAUCAGAAGAGACCAUCGUGAUACUCUAAUACGACCUGCAGAUUGCAGACCACAGAACUGCACCCAUUCCUGAAAUAGUCUCCUAACCUCUGGGGAACCCUGGCUGGAGGGCUGAGUCAUGAAGAAGACAUUACAGUUCCUGGAGUGAGAAAGGGGCUGCAGAAGAGAAAAUGAUGGAAAGUAGCUGAUGGAAGGGGUGUUGGCGUGACCGAGCUAACCUGCAAAAUCACCAGGAGGCAGUGCGUCCAGUGGUGAGUAGAGCAAUCCCAUCACACUGAUUUACAUUGCUGAUGUAACUAUUGGGCAAUGACAUUCACACUAUAAGACAGCAUGGACAAGGCGCUAGGAGGCAAAGUUGAGGCAGAACUGUUCUGCUAAUGAACCCUUAUCUGCAAAUGAUUUAUUUAUGUUGGAAUAAGAAUAUUUAAACAAUUUGUGUAAUUUAGAAUCAUAGAACAUCAGGGUUG
This is an RNA transcript of Gopherus evgoodei (Goodes thornscrub tortoise), 2426 nucleotides long. It is a transcript of the gene named family with sequence similarity 151 member B, with no coding region annotated. The record is from RefSeq and is a predicted model, not a curated record. Lineage: Eukaryota; Metazoa; Chordata; Testudines; Testudinidae. The transcript is spliced from 8 exons.